GACGAACGUAGGCGGCGUUCUUAACACAUGCAAGUCGAGCGAUGAAGCACCUUCGGGUGUGAAUUAGCGGCGAACGGGUGAGGAACACGUGAGAAAUCUGCCUUCAACACUGGGAUAACUCCGGGAAACCGGGGCUAAUACCGGAUAUGAAACCUGCGGGCAUCCGCGGGUUUGGAAAGUUUUUCGGUUGAAGAUGAUCUCGCGGCCUAUCAGCUUGUUGGUGAGGUAAUGGCUCACCAAGGCGACGACGGGUAGCCGGCCUGAGAGGGCGACCGGCCACACUGGGACUGAGACACGGCCCAGACUCCUACGGGAGGCAGCAGUGGGGAAUAUUGGGCAAUGGAGGAAACUCUGACCCAGCGACGCCGCGUGCGGGAUGAAGGCCUUCGGGUUGUAAACCGCUUUCAGCAGGGAAGAAGCGAAAGUGACGGUACCUGCAGAAGAAGCACCGGCUAACUAUGUGCCAGCAGCCGCGGUAAUACAUAGGGUGCAAGCGUUGUCCGGAAUUAUUGGGCGUAAAGAGCUCGUAGGUGGUUCGUCACGUCGGAUGUGAAACUCUGGGGCUUAACCCCAGACCUGCAUUCGAUACGGGCGAGCUUGAGUAUGGUAGGGGAGUCUGGAAUUCCUGGUGUAGCGGUGGAAUGCGCAGAUAUCAGGAGGAACACCAAUGGCGAAG
This 676-nucleotide ribosomal RNA is filed under the name Candidatus Planktophila sp. RNAcentral describes it as "bacterial SSU rRNA". It matches the Rfam family "Bacterial small subunit ribosomal RNA", at positions 28 to 720 of the family's 1533-position model. The record is from RNAcentral. Lineage: Bacteria; Bacillati; Actinomycetota; Actinomycetes; Candidatus Nanopelagicales; Candidatus Nanopelagicaceae.